Molecule: long non-coding RNA, 583 nt
Organism: Xenia sp. Carnegie-2017
Lineage: Eukaryota; Metazoa; Cnidaria; Anthozoa; Malacalcyonacea; Xeniidae
Exons: 2
Source: RefSeq, a predicted model, not a curated record
UGCAGUGACCUUGAUCAUCAAUUAUAGUAAUGACCGUUUGAAACGCGCUAAUAAUUAUUGCAUUAUUCAAUCCCCGAAUAAUAGAAGGAAUUAUAUACAAUUCAAAACGUGAUGUGUUUACGUGCAAGGAGAUAAACUUGAUAAACAUAUGAGAUAAAGACUGAAGAUGUAAAGAGAGAUCUUUUUCGUUUAAAACCUAUUACUUAAACCAGUUAAACUUCACUACGAGUUGUGUAACAUGAUUGAUUUUUCCAAAUAGAUAUUCACGAUGAUACAACAGUAACAAGAUCAUUUGACUUAAUAGCAAAAACUUAGUACAACAGAAUCUACAUUCUUAGAAAAGAUGACAGGAAAAUACAAGGACUUAUCAUGUUGUGAACAAAGUCAUAUUGUAUAGCGGUUAUUAUAAUGCACGCAAAGAUUCAUUAACUGCUAGACAGCAUGUGUAAACAAUUCAAACCUCUAAUCAAAGCAAAAGAAAAAUCCAUGACUAGUUAUUAAAUGUAUGAUUAUUUCUUGCUGUUGCAUUCAAUGCUUUAGCACUUCGUAUUAAUAUUACCUAAUUAAAAUAUUUUCAUAACAA